Non-coding RNA from Oryctolagus cuniculus (rabbit), 6488 nucleotides. The record is from RefSeq and is a predicted model, not a curated record. Lineage: Eukaryota; Metazoa; Chordata; Mammalia; Lagomorpha; Leporidae.
GCCUCCCGCCGCGGGGCUGGCUUUGCAGUUCACGCUUCCCGACCCGCACCCCUCCUCUGACCCCACAGGACUUGUGCAGGAGCAGGCGUCCAGCCAGCUGGCUUGUCACGAUUCCCAGCCUGAGAGAGAACAAGGCAGGGGGGUGUCUUCCAGCCAUGGGCUCCCUCCCCAAAUGACCACAACACCCGGAGUUGAGCCAAGUUGAAGCCAGGAGCCAGGAACUCCUCCUGGGUCUCCCAUGCGGGUGCAGGAGCCCAAGCACUUGGGCCAUCUUCCGCUGCUUUCCCAGGUACAUUAGCAGGGAGCUGCCUUGGAAGUGGCCCUGUAACAUGAGAUGCAUCCACAUUGCAGCUUAACCCGCUGGCCCAAAUCUAUCUCACAUACUUAAAAAUUCCAACCAGGGGCCAGCGCCGCGGCUCACUAGGCUGAUCCUCCGCCUGUGGUGCUGGUACCCCGGGUUCUAGUCCCGGUUGGGGUGCCGGAUUCUGUCCUGGUUGCUCCUCUUCCAGUCCAGCUCUCUGCUGUGGCCUGGGAAGGCAGUGGAGGAUGGCCCAAGUGCUUGGGCCCUGCACUCGCAUGGGAGACCAGGAGGAAGCACCUGGCUUCAGGUCGGCACAGCACGCUAGCCGUAGAGGCCAUUUGGGGGGUGAACCAACAGAAGGAAGACCUUUCUCUCUGUCUCUCUCUCUGCCUGUCCAAAAAAAAAAAAAAAAAAAAAUUCCAACCAGUCCUACUUUCUGGAAGUCACAUAAGAUAAAAUUAAGCUUUGCUCUUGGUUUUGUUCUCUGAUGGGUCGUUAAAUAUUUUCCCAGCAGAGCAGCCUUUUUAAAUGCUUGGGGGCUUUCUGAGGGUCUCCCUUCGGAACAGCACCAGCAGAAACGAGCCAGGGACAGCUGCUCUGGGGGAUGCUCGUGUGAUCCCAGCAACUCCAGGGGGAGAGAUUUUUUUCAUGUCUUUUUUUUUUUUUUCCCUAAAGUUCUGUAAGCUUGCACUCCCUAGAAGUCCUGGCUGGAAACAAUAUUAGGCAAGGUUGUGUAUUAAUCCCAGUUACUUAAAGCUGCACAUACAGUAAAGACUAAAUCCCGGCCGGUGCCGUGGCUCACUAGGCUAAUCCUCCGCCUUGCGGCGCCGGCACCCCGGGUUCUAGUCCCGGUCGGGGCACCGGUUUCUGUCCCGGUUGCCCCUCUUCUAGGCCAGCUCUCUGCUGUGUCCAGGGAGUGCAGAGGAGGAUGGCCCAAGUGCUUGGGCCCUGCACCCCAUGGGAGACCAGGAGAAGUACUUAGCUCCUGCCAUCGGAUCAGCGCGGUGCGCCGGCCGCAGCGCGGUGGCCAUUGGAGGGUGAACCAACGGCAAAAAGGAAGACCUUUCUCUCUGUCUCUCUCUCUCUCUCUCACUGUCCACUCUGCCUGUCAAAAAAAAAAUAAAAAAAUAAAAAUAUAAAAAGACUAAAUCCCAGGGUUUUCUUUUACUGUUUUUAAAAAAUUUUAUUUAGAGGCCGGCACUGUGGUGUAGCGGGUAAAGCCACUGUCUGCAGUGCCAGCAGUCCAUAUGGGCGCCAGUUCAGGUCCUGGCUGUUCCAUUUCUGAUCCAGCUCUCUGCUCUGGCCUGGGAAAGCAGCAGAGGAUGGGCCAAGUGCUUGGGUCCCUGCACCCGCACUGGAGACCUGCAAGAAGUUCCUGGCUCCUGACUUUGGAUCAGCAUAGCUCUGGCUGUUGCAGCCAAUUGGGAGGUGAACCAGCAGAUGGAAGACCUCACUCUCUUUCUCUCUCUCUGUUUCUGCCUCUCCUUCUCUCUCUGUGUAAUUCUUUUAAAUUUAUUUGCAAAAAUUUUAUUUAUUUACAAGGCUGAGCAAUGGGGGGAGUGGGAAGGAGAGAUCUUCCAUCCACGGGUUCACUCCCCACAUGGCUGCAACAGCCAGGGCUGGGCCAGGCUGAAGCCAGGAGCUCCAUCUGGGUCUCCCAUGUGGGUGCAGGAGCCCAAGCACCUGGGCCCUCGUCCACUGUUUUCCCAGCCACAUUAGCAGGGAGCUGGAUCAGAAGCAGAGCCGCUGGAACUCAGACUAGAUGGGAGCAUCACAAGCAGACGCUCCACCCGCUACAUGUCGGUGCCGGCUGCCAGUGCUGGCCUCUUAGGUUGAUGAAUUACAGGGGAGGCACCCCAGGGGCAGUGAUGGCGUCCUGUGCUUUCCACCCUGUGUGGCUGUUUCCUGUCUCGUCUGAGUCCUGGCAGUCCAAUCCACUCUCGGGCCUGGGCUGCCACUUGGCAUGGUGGAACGGCCACAGCAGGUGGGCUGUGGAUUGGGACUUAGCGUUAUCUGCAGCUUCUCACUGCUGCCCACAGCCGUGUACAGAAACCAUGGCGGAAGUGUGUGCUGUGUGCCAACUCUGACAGCCCUGUUGGUCGGCAGUGCCUUUGCUUUUGCCGGAAUGAGCAGGUGCCUAUGACGUUUGCUUUAAGAAAGCAGAAGCCUGGGGCUGGCAUUGUGGCGUGGCAGGUUAAGCUGUGGCCAGCGUCCCUCAUGGGCGCCGGUUCCAGUCCCGGCUGCUCCGCUUCAGAUCCAACUCCCUGCUGCUAGUGCACCUAGGAAAGCAGAAGAUGGCCCAGGUGCUUGGACCCCUGCUCCCACGUGGGAGACCCGGAGGAAGCUCCUGGCUCCAGCCUGGCCCUGCCCCAGCUGCUGCAGCCAUGUGGGGAGUGAACCAGUGGAUGGAAGAUUGCUCCCUCUCUCUAACUGCCUUUCAAAUAAUAAAUAAAUCUUUAAAAAUUAAAAAAAAAAGCAGAAGCCUGAACUGGGAAGCAGGAGCAGCUUCUGCUGUGAUGGAGUUCCUCUGGAAGACUGUGUGUGGGGGUGGGGUGUGUGUAUGUGUAAAACUGUGUAGGGCUGUGUGUGUGGCUGUGUAGGUGUAGGGGUGUGUAGGUAUGUGUAUGUACAGGGGUAGAUGUAGGUAUAAAGAUGUGUUUGUAGGUGUGGGUGUAUAGGUGUGGGUGUGUACAAGGGUAUGUUUAGGUGUGUGUGUGUACAGGGGUGCGUGUAGGUUUAAGAGUGUAUGUAGGGAUGUAUGGGUGUAGGGGCAUGUGUGUAGGUCUAGGGGGCAUGUCUGUGUGAGUGUGUAGGGAUGUGUGAAAGUGUAGGUAUAGGUGUGUGAGUGCGUUCUAGGGUGUGUGAAGGUAUAGGGGUGUGUGUGUGUAGGUAUAGAUGUAUGUGUGUGAAGGUAUGGGUGUGUGUGUGUGUGUAGGUAUGGUGUGCAUUGGUAUAGGGGUGUGUGUGUAGGUAUAGAUGUGUGUUAGGUAUAUGUGUGUAGGUAUAGAUGUAUGUGUGUAGGUAUGGGUGUGUGUGUGUGUGUGUGUAGGUAUGGUGUGCAUUGGUAUAGGGGUGUGUGUGUAGGUAUAGAUGUGUGUUAGGUAUAUGUGUGUAGGUAUAGAUGUAUGUGUGUAUGGGUGUGUGUGUGUGUGUAGGUAUGGUGUGCAUUGGUAUAGCGGUGUGUGUGUAGGUAUAGAUGUGUGUUAGGUAUAGGUGUGUGUGUGUAGGGAUGGGUGUGUGUGUGUGUAGGUAUGGUGUGCAUUGGUAUAGCGGUGUGUGUGUAGGUAUAGAUGUAUGUGUGUGUGUAGGUAUCGGUUGGGAUCAUGGUUGCUUGUCUGUUAGGAUGCGUGCACACUCGGGAACACGGCACUGCCUGCUCCUUGUGUUCCGUGCUCCCUCGUUGGGGUCAUCCUCGUCCCCUCUUGUGUUUUAUUGAGGAACAAUUUUCCCUUUCACUUCAGAACCACUUUAUAGGAUGAAAUAGAUACUGAAUCUGAAAUCUGUUUAUUUUGGUAAUUUUCCCUUACUGGUCUUUGUGAGGAAGAGCAAGCUCAGUGUAGAUUUAAUUAUGUUUUUGAAAGUUAGAGUUGCAGAGAGGGAAAGAGAGAUCUUCCACCUGCUGGUUCACUCCCCAGAUGGCCGUAACAGUCGGUGCUGGGCCAGACUGGAGCCAGGAGCUUCAUCCAGGCCUCAAAUGUGGGUGCUGGGCCCAGACACAUCUGCUGCUGCUUUCCCCCAGGGAGCUGGAUUGGAAGUGGAGCAGCUGGGACACAGACCAGCACCUAUGUGGGUGGGAUGCCAGUUUUGCAGGCAGUGGCUUUACCUGCUAUGCCACCACGCUGGCCUCCAUUGUGUAUUGGUUGUUUUUGGUAUUUUUAAAAAUUUAUUUUAUUUAUUUGAAAGAGCCACAGAGAGGAGAGAGAAAGGGAGAGACCCUCCAUCCACUGGUUCACUCCCCAAAUGGCCAAAACCACCAGGGCCUGGCCAGGCGGAAGCCAGGAGCCUUCUCCAGGUCCCCGACGUGGGUGCAGGGGCCCAAACACGUGACCCAUCUUCCACUGCUUUUCCACGCCAUUAGCAGGGAGCUGGACUGGAAGUGGAGCAGCCGGGACCCAGACUGGUGCCCACGUGUUUCUGUGUCCCGUCAUCCUGCUGGGUUGACUGGUUUUCCUGUGUCCCGUCAUCCUGCUGGGUUGACUGGUUUUCCUGUGCCCCAUCAUCCUAUUUGAUUGGUUUUCCUGUGUCCCGUCAACCUGCUGUUUGAUUGGUUUUCCUGUGCCCCAUCAUCCUGCUAUUUGAUUGGUUUUCCUGUGUUCCAGGAAUGAAUCCUGUCGGGCCUUAGGGUGCUUGAAGGUGCUGCUGACUCCAUUGCUGGUGUUUUGGGGACUGCUGGCUCUGUGUUUGUGGGGGGCGGGGGCGUUAGCUGUGGGCUUCCUGUGGUGUCUUUCUCUGCCUCUGUCCUCACAGGCUGGGGUAGGCAGUGCCUGGCUGACUGCUCUUGGUGGUCAGGAGUUGUGGGUGCAGCCACAUGGCUCUGGGGUCCCGACGCUGACCGAGUCCCCCUGUGUCUCAAUGGGGCGGCUGGCUGGGGUAGGCUGUGGGUUUCAGGGGUCUUUCUCGUGCAGGCUCCUGGUGUGCAGCCGCUCGGGGUGUCCUCGCGCAGGCCUUGUUGUUUUGGCAAAGGUCUCAUUGCUAAUUCUAGUGGUCUGUGUUUCCCCGUCCGCCCAGCUAAAUGCCAGUGCAGUUGGUCCUCUGAAACCUCUUGGCUCCGGCGGUUUUUCCCAGUUGGUUUUCUCUGCUCUGUGUCUCGUGUUUCCACUCUGGUUAUUUCCUUCCCUCCGCGAGCUUUGGAGGUAGUUGACUUUUAUUUAUCUGAAAGGCAGAGUUACAGAGAGCGGGGGAUCUUCCAUCCGCUGGUUCACUCCCUGAAUGGCCACAAUGGCCAGGACUGAGCCAGGAACCAGGAGUUUCCUCCAGGUCUCCCAUGCGGGUGCAGGGACCCAAGCACUUUGGGCCAUCUUCUGCUGCUAUCCCAGGCCAUCAGCAGGGAGCUGGAUGGGAAGUGGAGCAGCCGGGACCCGACUAGGCGCCCACACGGGAUGCCGGCGUCGCAGGUGGCAGCUGUACCUACUGCACCACAGCAGCCCCUCGUUUUCAUUUGUCCCAAGGUAUUUUCUUCCCUCUGACUUCUUCUUUGACUCACUGGUGAGCACUUGUGUUCAAACUCCACAUGUUUACCAGUUUUCCAGCUUUUUUUUCUUCUGGCUCCAUCCUCACGAGCAGAAGUCGGUUCUUUGCUCCUCUCCCACGGCUGCCAGGGAACGUCCGCCAGUUCCCCGAGAGCUCAUCAGGGACAGAUAAGGCGCAGCUUGGGACACCUGCAUCCCGUGUCAGGCGCCUGGGUUCAAGUCCCGGCUCUGCUUCUAAUCCCAGCUUCCUGCUCACGUGUCCCCAGAGAGACAGGUGGAGGUGGCUCAAGGAGUUGGUCCCUGCUGUCCAGGAUGGACCUGGAUUGGGUUCCCAGCUCUCUGUUUAGGUCUGGCCCCGGCCGUUGCACAUACUUAUCUUUUCCAGUAAAAUGGAUGGAGAAGGACUCUGUGCCUUCCAGAGCUGGAGCUCUGACUGUCCGCUGUACACGGGGGCGCCUCUCGCUGCUGGCCCUGCUUCCCUGAAGAACCCUCACCUGAGCCGCAGGCUUGUCUCCAGCGCAGGUUCUGUUCGCCGUCCGCCUGCCGGGGUCCACGCACAGGGCGCCUGGCAGAGCUCGGGAUAGCCACAGGCGUUUGUUGGACCUUGUCAGUGGCUCGAGGGGGUGAUGGGAAGCCCUGGGAUCCUUGGGUUGCUCUUUGUAGCGUUUAAAUGGCAAUGCUUAGCUGCUUUUAUAGGCCCGUCAGCGAUAUGGGCUGUGAACUGGAGCCGUGCAGUAAAGUGAAGCCAUUUUUUUUUUUUUUUUGACAGGCAGAGUGGACAGAGAGAGAGAGACAGAGAGAAAGGUCUUCCUUUGCCAUUGGUUCACCCUCCAAUGGCCGCCGCUGCCGGCACGCUGCGGCCAGUGCACCGCGCUGAUCCGAUGGCAGGAGCCAGGUGCUUCUCCUGGUCUCCCAUGGGGUGCAGGGCCCAAGGACUUGGGCCAUCCUCCACUGUACUCCCAGGCCACAGCAGAGAGCUGGACUGGAAGAGGGGCAAC